CCCCAGCGCCACAAGUGGUUAUCACGAUUAUUGGGCCUAAAGCGUUCGUAGCCGGUUUGGUAAAUCUCUUGUGAAAUUGUUCGGCUUAACCGGACAGCGUGCAGGAGACACUGCUAGACUCGAGACCGGGAGGCGUAUGAAGUAUUCCAUGGGGACUGGUAAAAUGGGAUAAUCCAUGGAAGACUACCGAUGGCGAAGGCAUCAUACGAGAACGGAUCUGACGGUGAGGAACGAAAGCCAGGGGAGCGAACCGG
This 254-nucleotide ribosomal RNA is filed under the name uncultured bacterium. Its description in RNAcentral is "partial 16S ribosomal RNA". It matches the Rfam family "Archaeal small subunit ribosomal RNA", at positions 474 to 727 of the family's 1478-position model. The record is from RNAcentral.